This 434-nucleotide ribosomal RNA is filed under the name uncultured Lachnospiraceae bacterium. Its description in RNAcentral is "partial 16S ribosomal RNA". It matches the Rfam family "Bacterial small subunit ribosomal RNA", at positions 341 to 792 of the family's 1533-position model. Lineage: Bacteria; Bacillati; Bacillota; Clostridia; Lachnospirales; Lachnospiraceae. The record is from RNAcentral.
ACGGGAGGCAGCAGUGGGGAAUAUUGGACAAUGGGGGAAACCCUGAUGCAGCAACGCCGCGUGAGUGAAGAAGUAUUUCGGUAUGUAAAGCUCUAUCAGCAGGGAAGAUAAUGACGGUACCUGACUAAGAAGCUCCGGCUAAAUACGUGCCAGCAGCCGCGGUAGUACGUAUGGAGCAAGCGUUAUCCGGAUUUACUGGGUGUAAAGGGUGCGUAGGUGGCAUGGUAAGUCAGAUGUGAAAUACCGGGGCUCAACCCCGGAGCUGCAUUUGAAACUGCCAGGCUGGAGUGCAGGAGAGGCAAGCGGAAUUCCUAGUGUAGCGGUGAAAUGCGUAGAUAUUAGGAGGAACACCAGUGGCGAAGGCGGCUUGCUGGACUGUUACUGACACUGAGGCACGAAAGCGUGGGGAGCAAACAGGAUUAGAUACCCUGGUA